CAUGGUCUUAGCUUGCUAAGACUGAUGGCGACCGGCGCACGGGUGCGUAACGCGUAUGCAACUUGCCUCACAGAGGGGGAUAACCCGUCGAAAGACGGACUAAUACCGCGUACACUCUAUGUUGGGCAUCCAAUGUAGAGGAAAUGAAAUUCGCUGUGAGAUAGGCAUGCGUCCCAUUAGCUAGUUGGUGAGGUAACGGCUCACCAAGGCGACGAUAGGUAGGGGAACUGAGAGGUUGAACCCCCACACUGGUACUGAGACACGGACCAGACUCCUACGGGAGGCAGCAGUGAGGAAUAUUGGUCAAUGGGCGAGAGCCUGAACCAGCCAAGUCGCGUGAAGGAUGACUGUCUUAUGGAUUGUAAACUUCUUUUAUACGGGAAUAACAAGAGUCACGUGUGGCUCCCUGCAUGUACCGUAUGAAUAAGCAUCGGCUAACUCCGUGCCAGCAGCCGCGGUAAUACGGAGGAUGCGAGCGUUAUCCGGAUUUAUUGGGUUUAAAGGGUGCGUAGGCGGCCUGUUAAGUCAGCGGUGAAAUCUAGGAGCUUAACUCCUAAAUUGCCAUUGAUACUGGCGGGCUUGAGUGUAGAUGAGGUAGGCGGAAUGCGUGGUGUAGCGGUGGAAUGCAUAGAUAUCACGCAGAACUCCGAUUGCGAAGGCAGCUUACUAAGGUACAACUGACGCUGAAGCACGAAAGCGUGGGUAUCAAACAGGAUUAGAUACCCUGGUAGUCCACGCAGUAAACGAUGAUAACUGGGCGUAUGCGAUAUACAGUAUGCUCCUAA
RNAcentral lists this ribosomal RNA (785 nucleotides) under uncultured Porphyromonadaceae bacterium. Its description in RNAcentral is "bacterial SSU rRNA". It matches the Rfam family "Bacterial small subunit ribosomal RNA", at positions 70 to 850 of the family's 1533-position model. The record is from RNAcentral. Lineage: Bacteria; Pseudomonadati; Bacteroidota; Bacteroidia; Bacteroidales; Porphyromonadaceae.